GCUGGCGGCAGGCCUAACACAUGCAAGUCGAGCGGUAGAGAGAAGCUUGCUUCUCUUGAGAGCGGCGGACGGGUGAGUAAUGCCUAGGAAUCUGCCUGGUAGUGGGGGAUAACGUUCGGAAACGGACGCUAAUACCGCAUACGUCCUACGGGAGAAAGCAGGGGACCUUCGGGCCUUGCGCUAUCAGAUGAGCCUAGGUCGGAUUAGCUAGUUGGUGAGGUAAUGGCUCACCAAGGCGACGAUCCGUAACUGGUCUGAGAGGAUGAUCAGUCACACUGGAACUGAGACACGGUCCAGACUCCUACGGGAGGCAGCAGUGGGGAAUAUUGGACAAUGGGCGAAAGCCUGAUCCAGCCAUGCCGCGUGUGUGAAGAAGGUCUUCGGAUUGUAAAGCACUUUAAGUUGGGAGGAAGGGUUGUAGAUUAAUACUCUGCAAUUUUGACGUUACCGACAGAAUAAGCACCGGCUAACUCUGUGCCAGCAGCCGCGGUAAUACAGAGGGUGCAAGCGUUAAUCGGAAUUACUGGGCGUAAAGCGCGCGUAGGUGGUUUGUUAAGUUGGAUGUGAAAUCCCCGGGCUCAACCUGGGAACUGCAUUCAAAACUGACUGACUAGAGUAUGGUAGAGGGUGGUGGAAUUUCCUGUGUAGCGGUGAAAUGCGUAGAUAUAGGAAGGAACACCAGUGGCGAAGGCGACCACCUGGACUAAUACUGACACUGAGGUGCGAAAGCG
This 731-nucleotide ribosomal RNA is filed under the name uncultured bacterium. Its description in RNAcentral is "bacterial SSU rRNA". It matches the Rfam family "Bacterial small subunit ribosomal RNA", at positions 35 to 761 of the family's 1533-position model. The record is from RNAcentral.